GGUGCUGUAGUUCAGUGGUAGAAUAGCACUCACUGUCUAGGGGUUGGUAAGGGGUUCGAUUCCCCUCAGCACCG
This 74-nucleotide transfer RNA is filed under the name Cyclobacteriaceae bacterium. RNAcentral's name for it is "tRNA-OTHER". It matches the Rfam family "tRNA". From Rfam's summary of the family: Transfer RNA (tRNA) molecules are approximately 80 nucleotides in length. Their secondary structure includes four short double-helical elements and three loops (D, anti-codon, and T loops). Lineage: Bacteria; Pseudomonadati; Bacteroidota; Cytophagia; Cytophagales; Cyclobacteriaceae. The record is from RNAcentral.